AACAAUUGUGAGCUUAUAUUUGAAUCCACAGUGCUUAGCAAUUUCUGUAGCUAGGUCCACACAAUAGCCCUCAUAUCGAUCAUUUCCUUCAAGCAUUUCAUGAUUUUUCUUCAUCAUAACAUAUGGGGACUCCAAAAUAGUGGUGACAAUAAUAGUCUUAUUUUCUAGUCCUGAAGAUUCAUUUCCAAGAGGGCCAUCAAGUGGAUUCACAACCAUUUUGUCCACUUCACUCCAAUAUCCAAUCUUCCGAGGGCCAGUACUUUUGAGUUCCAUGACAUUUAUCGUAAAAUUGAUUCUCUUUCCAUUCUGAUCAAACUUUAUAUUCCCUGUUAGACCUUCC
Molecule: long non-coding RNA, 340 nt
Filed under: Gallus gallus (chicken)
Lineage: Eukaryota; Metazoa; Chordata; Aves; Galliformes; Phasianidae
Source: RNAcentral